GAUGAACGCUGGCGGCGUGCCUAACACAUGCAAGUCGAGCGCGGUCCCUUUGGUGCUUGCACCAAAGACGACUGAGCGGGCGCGGGUGAGGUACGCUGGUAACUGCCUGUACAUAUGGAUAACAUGCUGAAAAGCAUACUAAUACAUAAUAACGUAUAUUGAAGGCAUCUUCGAUGUAUCAAAGCGUUAGCGGUACAGGAUGGACCCGCGUCUGAUUAGCUAGUUGGUGGGGUAAAAGCCUACCAAGGCGACGAUCAGUAGCCGACCUGAGAGGGUGAUCGGCCACAUUGGAACUGAGACACGGUUCCAA
This 310-nucleotide ribosomal RNA is filed under the name uncultured bacterium. RNAcentral describes it as "bacterial SSU rRNA". It matches the Rfam family "Bacterial small subunit ribosomal RNA", at positions 28 to 334 of the family's 1533-position model. The record is from RNAcentral.